AACGAACGCUGGCGGCAUGCCCAACACAUGCAAGUCGAACGAGAACUUCGGGUCGCGUGGCGCACGGGUGAGUAACGCGUGGGAACCUGCCCUUAGGUUGGGAAUAACUCCCCGAAAGGGGUGCUAAUACCGGAUAAUGUCUUCGGACCAAAGAUUUAUCGCCUUUGGAUGGGCCCGCGUUGGAUUCGCUAGUUGGUAGGGUAAAAGCCUACCAAGGCGACGAUCCAUAGCUGGUCUGAGAGGAUGAUCAGCCACACUGGGACUGAGACACGGCCCAGACUCCUACGCGAGGCAGCAGUGGGGAAUAUUGGACAACGGGCGGAAGCCUGAACCAGCAAUGCCGCGUGAGUGAUGAAGGCCUUAGGGUUGUAAAGCUCUUUUACCCGGGAUGAUAAUGACAGUACCGGGAGAAUAAGCUCCGGCUAACUCCGUG
RNAcentral lists this ribosomal RNA (433 nucleotides) under uncultured bacterium. RNAcentral's name for it is "partial 16S ribosomal RNA". It matches the Rfam family "Bacterial small subunit ribosomal RNA", at positions 29 to 507 of the family's 1533-position model. The record is from RNAcentral.